CGUUUGUAGGUGAGGGGAUUUGUCGGCGUGCCCGGGGAUUUGUCGGCGUAGGUGAGGGGAUUUGUCGGCGUGCCCGGGGAACGUGUAAUCCGAGGCGUGACAGGAGUGGUUGUAACCAUGAUUAUGGAAGUUACGCCCACUCCUCGUGAAAGUUACGCCUCCACUUUUCAGCCGUUCCCGUCUAAACACUCUUGACUUUCAUGCGCUUUAUUGCCGACUCCUAGUGUACCACGUGUCCUUAUUUCUUUAGCUCAUACGUAGGCUAAGUCGGCGUGUUAAUUUCAAUUUUGGCAUC
This 295-nucleotide long non-coding RNA is filed under the name Ananas comosus (pineapple). RNAcentral describes it as "long non-coding RNA (ACOM_LNC043574)". Lineage: Eukaryota; Viridiplantae; Streptophyta; Magnoliopsida; Poales; Bromeliaceae. The record is from RNAcentral.